Molecule: ribosomal RNA, 888 nt
Filed under: uncultured Thiotrichales bacterium
Lineage: Bacteria; Pseudomonadati; Pseudomonadota; Gammaproteobacteria; Thiotrichales
Description: SSU rRNA
Rfam family: Bacterial small subunit ribosomal RNA
Source: RNAcentral
GCUCAGAUUGAACGCUGGCGGUAUGCUUAACACAUGCAAGUCGAACGGAAACGAAACUAGCUUGCUAGUAGGCGUCGAGUGGCGGACGGGUGAGUAACGCGUAGGAAUCUGCCUGAUAGUGGGGGAUAGCCCGAAGAAAUUCGGAUUAAUACCGCAUAAUCUAUUCGUAGUAAAGUGAGGGACUUUCGAGCCUCACGCUAUCAGAUGAGCCUGCGUAAGAUUAGCUUGUUGGUAGGGUAAAAGCCUACCAAGGCAACGAUCUUUAGCUGGUCUGAGAGGAUGAUCAGCCACAUCGGGACUGAGACACGGCCCGAACUCCUACGGGAGGCAGCAGUGGGGAAUAUUGGACAAUGGGGGCAACCCUGAUCCAGCAAUACCGCGUGUGUGAAGAAGGCCUGAGGGUUGUAAAGCACUUUCAAUUGUGAAGAAAAGUUAACGGUUAAUAACCGUUGACCUUGACGUUAACUUUAGAAGAAGCACCGGCUAACUCCGUGCCAGCAGCCGCGGUAAUACGGAGGGUGCAAGCGUUAAUCGGAAUUACUGGGCGUAAAGCGUACGUAGGCGGUUUAUUAAGUCAGAUGUGAAAGCCCCGGGCUUAACCUGGGAACUGCAUUUGAAACUGGUCAACUAGAGUAUGGUAGAGGAAAGUGGAAUUUCUGGUGUAGCGGUGAAAUGCGUAGAUAUCAGAAGGAACAUCAAUGGCGAAGGCAGCUUUCUGGACCAAUACUGACGCUGAGGUACGAAAGCGUGGGUAGCAAACAGGAUUAGAUACCCUGGUAGUCCACGCCGUAAACGAUGAUAACUAGCCGUUGGGGGGAUUUACCCCUUAGUGGCGAAGCUAACGCGUUAAGUUAUCCGCCUGGGGAGUACGGCCGCAAGGCUAAAACU